GAGCGGACGACGGUGACGACGUCGUCCGUUGUUGACGAGCAGCUUGCCAGAUGAGCCCAGAGAUUGACAGACCCUCAGUGAUUGGUUGCUAUCCCGGGUCCAGGGCUGAAGGAGCAUCUUAAAACGCGCGGGCAUGGAGAUGGAGUUGUGGAUGGUGCUAAGACACGGCGGCGUCCCUUAUCGUGCGGCAGUUUCGCCGUUCUGCGAAUCCUUUAAAUGAGUAAGUGCAGUCGCAGCCAUCGUGUUCGGGCAGCAAGAUUUGAAGGAGUUGGACCAGGCCCCGCACAAAUGGUCGUUUGAUUCGCUUGUUUGCGUGCGCGUGUGUUUAUGACGAAACCAGACUUCAUUACAAAACAUGCGAUUCUGUCCGUUUCGUGCUAACCCGUUUUUGCUCGACACAGACGUUCGGUGAAGAGCAAUCGCAGGAAUCGCAGCAUCCAGAAGUUCGGAGGUGGCCAUAAAAUGAUUUUCGCCUGAUGGAUGGCCCCAACGGAGCGUGUGGAUAGAGACAGCGCUGGGGAAACAAAAAAAAAAUUAAAUAAAAUGCUACAUCGACACACUCAACGAUCAGCGUGUACGCCAUUGAAAUUCUGGCAACGUUCUGCUGCAUGUACGAAACGACAUUAAAUUUGUCAAUUCGUGUUUUAAUGACAGGUCGAGGACGCGUCCUGAGUGUCUACCUAAUCUGAGAUUGAUCAAUUGGAACAGGUUGCCUUGCGGUGCUGUCUGCUGCUGGGCGUCAGCAUUUGCAAAAUAGAAGAGCAGGGGGAAAACCCACCCACAGAUAUGCACAAAACAAAACGAAAAAAAAAAAUCCUCACGCCAUAAAUGGACGGAUAAAGCCCAGAUGGAAACAAACAAACCCUGAAACAGCUCUAGGAUAUCAUGCACGUACACGCAGCAAAGCCAAGACCGCACCGUUCGCAAUCGUACUAGAAAUAAUCACAUCAGCAGGAUAAGCAGCGGGAUUCCACCAGCGGAUGCCGGGCGACGAAAGUAUACACCAAAGUAAAGCACAAACGCACUCACACACACAUAAAAGCCAAAACCUUUUCGGUGGCUUUGGCCCGGAUAAGGACGCUGAUAAAUUAACGUGCCAUUUGAUCAUAAUAAAAAUCCAUUAAUCCUU
Molecule: long non-coding RNA, 1129 nt
Organism: Anopheles arabiensis
Lineage: Eukaryota; Metazoa; Arthropoda; Insecta; Diptera; Culicidae
Exons: 2
Source: RefSeq, a predicted model, not a curated record